GUGUCAGCCGCCGCGGUAAUACGUAGGGGUCUAGCGUUGUCCGGAAUCAUUGGGCGUAAAGAGCUCGUAGGCGGUUCGGCAAGUCGGAUGUGAAAUCUCCACGCUCAACGUGGAGGGGCCAUUCGAAACUGCCGUGACUCGAGUCCGGUAGGGGAGUGCGGAAUUCCCGGUGUAGCGGUGAAAUGCGCAGAUAUCGGGAGGAACACCAGUGGCGAAGGCGGCACUCUGGGCCGGAACUGACGCUGAGGAGCGAAAGCGUGGGGAGCGAACAGGAUUAGAUACCCUGGUAGUCC
Molecule: ribosomal RNA, 293 nt
Filed under: uncultured bacterium
Lineage: Bacteria
Description: partial 16S ribosomal RNA
Rfam family: Bacterial small subunit ribosomal RNA
Source: RNAcentral